UAGAUCAGGUCUUAUUUCAAUAAAUUUAUGAAUUUUAAAUUUGUUAUCUUCUUAAAUCUUGAAUGAAUCUCUUUAACCACAAUUUUCUUUCAAACUAAAGACUUUUCAAGCCCAAAUACCGGCGAAAAUGGUGAAAUUCUUACUCAGAAACUGUCCGUUACGGUUGUUUUCCGGCUGCGGAACGUAGAAUCGCGCCUUGAACAGUUUCGAGUCGGAUUUCUUGGAGAUGAGGUCGAGAAACUCCAUCUUUUUGUGUUUAGGCCUCCUGAGUUGUGUCUGUGCCUUGCCUGUGAAGCCUGUUGUGUCGCCUGAGUCGGUGAGAGUUUUUGUUGAUUCACGUCAUGUGUAGCAACAUGUGAUAAUUUUACAAAGCUCAUUUUAACUUACAACAAACGACAGGCGACCUCUA
Molecule: long non-coding RNA, 409 nt
Organism: Cimex lectularius (bed bug)
Lineage: Eukaryota; Metazoa; Arthropoda; Insecta; Hemiptera; Cimicidae
Exons: 3
Source: RefSeq, a predicted model, not a curated record